UGGGGAAUAUUGGACAAUGGGCGAAAGCCUGAUCCAGCAAUACCGAGUGAGUGAUGAAGGCCCUAGGGUUGUAAAGCUCUUUUAGCAAGGAAGAUAAUGACGUUACUUGCAGAAAAAGCCCCGGCUAACUCCGUGCCAGCAGCCGCGGUAAGACGGAGGGGGCUAGCGUUGUUCGGAAUUACUGGGCGUAAAGAGUGCGUAGGCGAUUUAGUAAGUUGGAAGUGAAAGCCCGGGGCUUAACCUCGGAAUUGCUUUCAAAACUACUAAUCUAGAGUGUAGUAGGGGAUGAUGGAAUUCCUAGUGUAGAGGUGAAAUUCUUAGAUAUUAGGAGGAACACCGGUGGCGAAGGCGGUCAUCUGGGCUACAACUGACGCUGAUGCACGAAAGCGUGGGGAGCAAACA
RNAcentral lists this ribosomal RNA (402 nucleotides) under uncultured bacterium. RNAcentral describes it as "bacterial SSU rRNA". It matches the Rfam family "Bacterial small subunit ribosomal RNA", at positions 355 to 774 of the family's 1533-position model. The record is from RNAcentral.